Molecule: non-coding RNA, 73 nt
Organism: Danio rerio (zebrafish)
Lineage: Eukaryota; Metazoa; Chordata; Actinopteri; Cypriniformes; Danionidae
Source: Rfam
GCCUGGUUAGCUCAUUCGGUAGAGCAUGAGACUCUUAAUCUCAGGGUUGUGGGCUCGAGCCCCACGUUUGGUG